RNAcentral lists this ribosomal RNA (2729 nucleotides) under Escherichia coli BIDMC 83. Its description in RNAcentral is "bacterial LSU rRNA". It matches the Rfam family "Bacterial large subunit ribosomal RNA". Lineage: Bacteria; Pseudomonadati; Pseudomonadota; Gammaproteobacteria; Enterobacterales; Enterobacteriaceae. The record is from RNAcentral.
UUAAGCGACUAAGCGUACACGGUGGAUGCCCUGGCAGUCAGAGGCGAUGAAGGACGUGCUAAUCUGCGAUAAGCGUCGGUGAGGUGAUAUGAACCGUUAUAACCGGCGAUUUCCGAAUGGGGAAACCCAGUGUGUUUCGACACACUAUCAUUAACUGAAUCCAUAGGUUAAUGAGGCGAACCGGGGGAACUGAAACAUCUAAGUACCCCGAGGAAAAGAAAUCAACCGAGAUUCCCCCAGUAGCGGCGAGCGAACGGGGAGGAGCCCAGAGCCUGAAUCAGUGUGUGUGUUAGUGGAAGCGUCUGGAAAGGCGUGCGAUACAGGGUGACAGCCCCGUACACAAAAAUGCACAUAUUGUGAGCUCGAUGAGUAGGGCGGGACACGUGGUAUCCUGUCUGAAUAUGGGGGGACCAUCCUCCAAGGCUAAAUACUCCUGACUGACCGAUAGUGAACCAGUACCGUGAGGGAAAGGCGAAAAGAACCCCGGCGAGGGGAGUGAAAAAGAACCUGAAACCGUGUACGUACAAGCAGUGGGAGCCUCUUAAUGGGGUGACUGCGUACCUUUUGUAUAAUGGGUCAGCGACUUAUAUUCUGUAGCAAGGUUAACCGAAUAGGGGAGCCGAAGGGAAACCGAGUCUUAACUGGGCGUUAAGUUGCAGGGUAUAGACCCGAAACCCGGUGAUCUAGCCAUGGGCAGGUUGAAGGUUGGGUAACACUAACUGGAGGACCGAACCGACUAAUGUUGAAAAAUUAGCGGAUGACUUGUGGCUGGGGGGGAAAGGCCAAUCAAACCGGGAGAUAGCUGGUUCUCCCCGAAAGCUAUUUAGGUAGCGCCUCGUGAAUUCAUCUCCGGGGGUAGAGCACUGUUUCGGCAAGGGGGUCAUCCCGACUUACCAACCCGAUGCAAACUGCGAAUACCGGAGAAUGUUAUCACGGGAGACACACGGCGGGUGCUAACGUCCGUCGUGAAGAGGGAAACAACCCAGACCGCCAGCUAAGGUCCCAAAGUCAUGGUUAAGUGGGAAACGAUGUGGGAAGGCCCAGACAGCCAGGAUGUUGGCUUAGAAGCAGCCAUCAUUUAAAGAAAGCGUAAUAGCUCACUGGUCGAGUCGGCCUGCGCGGAAGAUGUAACGGGGCUAAACCAUGCACCGAAGCUGCGGCAGCGACACUAUGUGUUGUUGGGUAGGGGAGCGUUCUGUAAGCCUGUGAAGGUGGCCUGUGAGGGUUGCUGGAGGUAUCAGAAGUGCGAAUGCUGACAUAAGUAACGAUAAAGCGGGUGAAAAGCCCGCUCGCCGGAAGACCAAGGGUUCCUGUCCAACGUUAAUCGGGGCAGGGUGAGUCGACCCCUAAGGCGAGGCCGAAAGGCGUAGUCGAUGGGAAACAGGUUAAUAUUCCUGUACUUGGUGUUACUGCGAAGGGGGGACGGAGAAGGCUAUGUUGGCCGGGCGACGGUUGUCCCGGUUUAAGCGUGUAGGCUGGUUUUCCAGGCAAAUCCGGAAAACCAAGGCUGAGGCGUGAUGACGAGGCACUACGGUGCUGAAGCGACAAAUGCCCUGCUUCCAGGAAAAGCCUCUAAGCAUCAGGUAACAUCAAAUCGUACCCCAAACCGACACAGGUGGUCAGGUAGAGAAUACCAAGGCGCUUGAGAGAACUCGGGUGAAGGAACUAGGCAAAAUGGUGCCGUAACUUCGGGAGAAGGCACGCUGAUAUGUAGGUGAAGCGACUUGCUCGUGGAGCUGAAAUCAGUCGAAGAUACCAGCUGGCUGCAACUGUUUAUUAAAAACACAGCACUGUGCAAACACGAAAGUGGACGUAUACGGUGUGACGCCUGCCCGGUGCCGGAAGGUUAAUUGAUGGGGUUAGCGGCAACGCGAAGCUCUUGAUCGAAGCCCCGGUAAACGGCGGCCGUAACUAUAACGGUCCUAAGGUAGCGAAAUUCCUUGUCGGGUAAGUUCCGACCUGCACGAAUGGCGUAAUGAUGGCCAGGCUGUCUCCACCCGAGACUCAGUGAAAUUGAACUCGCUGUGAAGAUGCAGUGUACCCGCGGCAAGACGGAAAGACCCCGUGAACCUUUACUAUAGCUUGACACUGAACAUUGAGCCUUGAUGUGUAGGAUAGGUGGGAGGCUUUGAAGUGUGGACGCCAGUCUGCAUGGAGCCGACCUUGAAAUACCACCCUUUAAUGUUUGAUGUUCUAACGUUGGCCCGUAAUCCGGGUUGCGGACAGUGUCUGGUGGGUAGUUUGACUGGGGCGGUCUCCUCCUAAAGAGUAACGGAGGAGCACGAAGGUUGGCUAAUCCUGGUCGGACAUCAGGAGGUUAGUGCAAUGGCAUAAGCCAGCUUGACUGCGAGCGUGACGGCGCGAGCAGGUGCGAAAGCAGGUCAUAGUGAUCCGGUGGUUCUGAAUGGAAGGGCCAUCGCUCAACGGAUAAAAGGUACUCCGGGGAUAACAGGCUGAUACCGCCCAAGAGUUCAUAUCGACGGCGGUGUUUGGCACCUCGAUGUCGGCUCAUCACAUCCUGGGGCUGAAGUAGGUCCCAAGGGUAUGGCUGUUCGCCAUUUAAAGUGGUACGCGAGCUGGGUUUAGAACGUCGUGAGACAGUUCGGUCCCUAUCUGCCGUGGGCGCUGGAGAACUGAGGGGGGCUGCUCCUAGUACGAGAGGACCGGAGUGGACGCAUCACUGGUGUUCGGGUUGUCAUGCCAAUGGCACUGCCCGGUAGCUAAAUGCG